Molecule: ribosomal RNA, 208 nt
Filed under: uncultured Latescibacterota bacterium
Lineage: Bacteria; Pseudomonadati; Candidatus Latescibacterota
Description: uncultured Latescibacteria bacterium partial 16S ribosomal RNA
Rfam family: Bacterial small subunit ribosomal RNA
Source: RNAcentral
CGUGUAGGCGGUCAGGUAAGUGGAAUGUGAAAUGCCCCGGCUCACCCGGGGACCGGCAUCCCAAACUGCCUGGCUUGAGUAUGGGAGAGGGUGGAGGAAUUCCUGGUGUAGCGGUGAAAUGCGUAGAUAUCAGGAGGAACACCGGUGGCGAAGGCGUCCAUCUGGCCCAAUACUGACGCUGAGGCGCGAAAGCUAGGGGAGCAAACGG